RNAcentral lists this ribosomal RNA (468 nucleotides) under uncultured bacterium. Its description in RNAcentral is "partial 16S ribosomal RNA". It matches the Rfam family "Bacterial small subunit ribosomal RNA", at positions 28 to 507 of the family's 1533-position model. The record is from RNAcentral.
GACGAACGCUGGCGGCGUGCUUAACACAUGCAAGUCGAACGGAAAGGCCCUGCUUUUGUGGGGUGCUCGAGUGGCGAACGGGUGAGUAACACGUGAGUAACCUGCCCUUGACUUUGGGAUAACUUCAGGAAACUGGGGCUAAUACCGGAUAGGAGCUCCUGCUGCAUGGUGGGGGUUGGAAAGUUUCGGCGGUUGGGGAUGGACUCGCGGCUUAUCAGCUUGUUGGUGGGGUAGUGGCUUACCAAGGCUUUGACGGGUAGCCGGCCUGAGAGGGUGACCGGACACAGUGGGACUGCGAUACGCCCCGGACUCCUACGGGAGGCAGCAGGGGGGAUUAUUGCACAAUGGGCGGAGGCCUGAUGCAGCAACGCGGCGGGCGGGAUGACGGCCUGCGGGUUAUAAACCGCUUCCGCCUGUCACGAAGCGUGAGUGACGGUAAUGGGAAAAAAAGCACCGGCUAACUCCGUG